This 466-nucleotide ribosomal RNA is filed under the name Vreelandella stevensii. RNAcentral describes it as "partial 16S ribosomal RNA". It matches the Rfam family "Bacterial small subunit ribosomal RNA", at positions 338 to 795 of the family's 1533-position model. Lineage: Bacteria; Pseudomonadati; Pseudomonadota; Gammaproteobacteria; Oceanospirillales; Halomonadaceae. The record is from RNAcentral.
CCUACGGGGGGCUGCAGUGGGGAAUAUUGGACAAUGGGGGGAACCCUGAUCCAGCCAUGCCGCGUGUGUGAAGAAGGCCCUCGGGUUGUAAAGCACUUUCAGUGAGGAAGAACGCCUGGUGGUUAAUACCCAUCAGGAAAGACAUCACUCACAGAAGAAGCACCGGCUAACUCCGUGCACAGCAGCCGCGGUAAUACGGAGGGUGCGAGCGUUAAUCGGAAUUACUGGGCGUAAAGCGCGCGUAGGUGGCUUGAUAAGCCGGUUGUGAAAGCCCCGGGCUCAACCUGGGAACGGCAUCCGGAACUGUCAAGCUAGAGUGCAGGAGAGGAAGGUAGAAUUCCCGGUGUAGCGGUGAAAUGCGUAGAGAUCGGGAGGAAUACCAGUGGCGAAGGCGGCCUUCUGGACUGACACUGACACUGAGGUGCGAAAGCGUGGGUAGCAAACAGGAUUAGAUACCCUGGUAGUC